GAUGAACGCUGGCGGCGUGCCUAAUACAUGCAAGUCGAGCGAACGGACGAGAAGCUUGCUUUUCUGAUGUUAGCGGCGGACGGGUGAGUAACACGUGGAUAACCUACCUAUAAGACUGGGAUAACUUCGGGAAACCGGAGCUAAUACCGGAUAAUAUUUUGAACCGCAUGGUUCAAAAGUGAAAGACGGUCUUGCUGUCACUUAUAGAUGGAUCCGCGCUGCAUUAGCUAGUUGGUAAGGUAACGGCUUACCAAGGCAACGAUGCAUAGCCGACCUGAGAGGGUGAUCGGCCACACUGAAACUGAGACACGGCCCAGACUCCUACGGAGGCAGCAGUAGGGAAUCUUCCGCAAUGGGCGAAAGCCUGACGGAGCAACGCCGCGUGAGUGAUGAAGGUCUUCGGAUCGUAAAACUCUGUUAUUAGGGAAGAACAUAUGUGUAAGUAACUGUGCACAUCUUGACGGUACCUAAUCAGAAAGCCACGGCUAACUACGUG
RNAcentral lists this ribosomal RNA (496 nucleotides) under uncultured bacterium. Its description in RNAcentral is "partial 16S ribosomal RNA". It matches the Rfam family "Bacterial small subunit ribosomal RNA", at positions 28 to 507 of the family's 1533-position model. The record is from RNAcentral.